Molecule: transfer RNA, 87 nt
Filed under: Patescibacteria group bacterium
Lineage: Bacteria
Description: tRNA-Leu
Rfam family: tRNA
About the family: Transfer RNA (tRNA) molecules are approximately 80 nucleotides in length.
Source: RNAcentral
GGGCAAGUGGCGAAACUGGCAGACGCACUGGUUUCAGGUAUCAGCGACCGCAAGGUCAUGAGGGUUCAAGUCCCUCCUUGCCCACCA